UAAUACGUAGGGUGCGAGCGUUAAUCGGAAUUACUGGGCGUAAAGCGUGCGCAGGCGGUUCGCUAAGACCGAUGUGAAAUCCCCGGGCUUAACCUGGGAACUGCAUUGGUGACUGGCGGGCUGGAGUAUGGCAGAGGGGGGUAGAAUUCCACGUGUAGCAGUGAAAUGCGUAGAGAUGUGGAGGAAUACCGAUGGCGAAGGCAGCCCCCUGGGCCAAUACUGACGCUCAUGCACGAAAGCGUGGGGAGCAAACAGGAUUAGAUACCCUGGUAGUCCACGCCCUAAACGAUGUCAACUAGUUGUCGGGUCUUCAUUGACUUGGUAACGAAGCUAACGCGUGAAGUUGACCGCCUGGGGAGUACGGUCGCAAGAUUA
Molecule: ribosomal RNA, 375 nt
Filed under: uncultured bacterium
Lineage: Bacteria
Description: bacterial SSU rRNA
Rfam family: Bacterial small subunit ribosomal RNA
Source: RNAcentral